RNAcentral lists this ribosomal RNA (278 nucleotides) under uncultured bacterium. RNAcentral describes it as "partial 16S ribosomal RNA". It matches the Rfam family "Bacterial small subunit ribosomal RNA", at positions 29 to 334 of the family's 1533-position model. The record is from RNAcentral.
AACGGACGCUGGCGGCAGGCCUAACACAUGCAAGUCGAGCGAGAUCUUCGGAUCUAGCGGCGGACGGGUGAGUAACGCGUGGGAAUAUGCCCUUUGGUACGGAAUAGCCCCGGGAAACUGGGAGUAAUACCGUAUGUGCCCUUCGGGGGAAAGAUUUAUCGCCAAAGGAUUAGCCCGCGUUGGAUUAGGUAGUUGGUGGGGUAAUGGCCUACCAAGCCGACGAUCCAUAGCUGGUUUGAGAGGAUGAUCAGCCACACUGGGACUGAGACACGGCCCAG